Molecule: ribosomal RNA, 371 nt
Filed under: uncultured bacterium
Lineage: Bacteria
Description: bacterial SSU rRNA
Rfam family: Bacterial small subunit ribosomal RNA
Source: RNAcentral
GGGGGGGGCCAGCGUUGUUCGGAAUCAUUGGGCGUAAAGGGCGCGUAGGCGGCCGACCAAGUCGGAGGUGAAAUCCCUCGGCUCAACUGAGGAACUGCCUCCGAUACUGUUCGGCUUGAGUCCCGGAGAGGGUAGUGGAAUUCCGAGUGUAGCGGUGAAAUGCGUAGAGACUCGGAAGAACACCAGUGGCGAAGGCGGCUACCUGGACGGGUACUGACGCUGAAGCGCGAAAGCUAGGGGAGCAAACAGGAUUAGAUACCCUGGUAGUCCUAGCUGUAAACGAUGGGCACUUGGUGUUGCGGGUAUCGACCCCUGCAGUGCCGAAGCUAACGCAUUAAGUGCCCCGCCUGGGGAGUACGGUCGCAAGGCUG